AGGAGGUAAUAAAAAUUAGUUCUCUCUUUUUUCUAUUCAAUUGGAUCCUCUUAUGAUGUGUAGGGAUACCAUUAUGACUAUAUCCUAUGAAGAUGAAUGUGAAAAGAAAACUUUACUUUUCUCAAAAUUUUAAGAUAGUGUAUAUGAUAUAUUGUAUGAAAAGUAGUUGUAUCUAAUCUUUGCAAAUAAAAUCUAGAAUCAUGAAUAUAUUUAGAAUAGUUCUAAAAUAAUUUAUAAUUAAUUUUAUUACUAUUUAUAUAAAAUUAUUUUAAUUUAAAAUUAAUAUAAUUAUUAUAGUUCGCCUGUUG
Molecule: long non-coding RNA, 308 nt
Filed under: Elaeis guineensis (African oil palm)
Lineage: Eukaryota; Viridiplantae; Streptophyta; Magnoliopsida; Arecales; Arecaceae
Description: long non-coding RNA (EGUI_LNC039758)
Source: RNAcentral